UGUAGUCUGCAACCCGACUACAUGAAGCUGGAAUCGCUAGUAAUCGCGGAUCAGAAUGCCGCGGUGAAUACGUUCCCGGGUCUUGUACACACCGCCCGUCACACCAUGGGAGCCGGAAAUGCCCGAAGCCUGUGACCCAACCCGCAAGGGGGGGAGCAGUCGAAGGCGGGGCCGGUGACUGGGGUGAAGUCGUAACAAGGUACC
This 204-nucleotide ribosomal RNA is filed under the name uncultured bacterium. Its description in RNAcentral is "partial 16S ribosomal RNA". It matches the Rfam family "Bacterial small subunit ribosomal RNA", at positions 1299 to 1500 of the family's 1533-position model. The record is from RNAcentral.